AGUGAACGCUGGCGGUGGGCCUAACACAUGCAAGUCGAACGGCCGCACAGUAAGAGCUUGCUCUUACGGGUGGCGACUGGCGGACGGGUGAGGAAUACAUCGGAAUCUACUUUUUCGUGGGGGAUUACGUAGGGCCACUUACGCUAAUACCGCAUACGUCCUACGGGUGAAAGCAGGGGAUCUUCGGACCUUGCGCGAUUGAAUGAGCCGAUGUCGGAUUAGCUAGUUGGCGGGGUAAAGGCCCACCAAGGCGACGAUCCGUAGCUGGUCUGAGAGGAUGAUCAGCCACACUGGAACUGAGACACGGUCCAGACUCCUACGGGAGGCAGCAGUGGGGAAUAUUGGACAAUGGGCGCAAGCCUGAUCCAGCCAUACCGCGUGGGUGAAGAAGGCCUUCGGAUUGUAAAGCCCUGUUGUUGGGAAAGAAAAGCAGCAGGUUAAUACCCCGCUGUUCUGACGGUACCCAAAGAAUAAGCACCGGCUAACUUCGUG
This 492-nucleotide ribosomal RNA is filed under the name uncultured bacterium. Its description in RNAcentral is "partial 16S ribosomal RNA". It matches the Rfam family "Bacterial small subunit ribosomal RNA", at positions 29 to 507 of the family's 1533-position model. The record is from RNAcentral.